Molecule: long non-coding RNA, 7023 nt
Organism: Oncorhynchus tshawytscha (Chinook salmon)
Lineage: Eukaryota; Metazoa; Chordata; Actinopteri; Salmoniformes; Salmonidae
Source: Ensembl
CGACAAACACCAAUGUCAGGAUCAAUAGCCUACGAAUGGCUACAACUGGAGUCUCGGGGAACAGUCCGGCUAGUCGAUUACCUAUCAACUAGACUCCGUAACAGUCAUCCUCCCAGGGAUGCGUGGCAGCCAUUUUCAUGUUUGUUAACGUUAGCCCGCGAAAGACCGCAUUCACGCUGUCAGGUCACACAGCCCUUGCACACACCCCAUGCAUUUAGUGAUCCUGAUGAAAUGUAUUUGGAUUCUUCUGAUUUCACCUGUGAUUGAGGAGUGAUAACAUGGGUAUUUGGCUUCUGGAGACUAUUUGCAGCCUGGCCUUCGCCUAUCGUCUUGGAUUCGAGACAGUGUCGCAGUGCAUUAUGGAGACCUGUGAGGCCAUAGAGAGGAAGAUGCUGGCGAUCCAUCUGCCAUGACCCACUGAGGAAACCUGGAGACAAACUUCAAGAGUUUCAUGAAAAAUGGGACUUUCCCAAUUGUUUGGGAUCGGUUGAUGGAAAACAUGUUAUGAUCACCAAACCACCAAACUCAGGGAGACGUUUUUUUAAAUUAUAAAGGAACCUUCUGUGGUGUUACUCGCCCUUGUGGAUGCCAAUUACCACUUCACAGCUAUUCAAGUGGGGGAUUUUGGGAGAAACAGUGAUGGAGGAGUCUAUGCCAACUCCCCACUUGGAAGGGCAAUGGCAUCAAAAACACUGCAGGUGCCUUUCUGCCUGGGGGUGAAGAUUUAGGAAAGAUACCAUACACAUUGGUGGUGCACGCUGCCUUCCCACUAAAGCCCUACCUGAUGAGGCCAUAUGCCGGGCAUAACAUCAGCUACGAGAAAGAAAUCUUCAACUAUUGUCUCUGUCGAAUGACAGUGGAGAAGGCAUUCGGGAUCCUUGCGGCCAGAUGGAGAAUCCUCUACCAAAAAUAAACCUACUGCCAAGCGAGGUUGAUACCCUAGUGGUUGCAAUGUGCAUCCUCAAUUUCCUCACAAGCCUUUUGAUGUGGAGAUGUGGUUACAGCAAGGUGGGGCAGGGAUGAGGCAAGGCAUGAGAGGCAUAGCCAUCCAGGCCAAUAGAGCAGGUCAGGAGGCAGUUUCUGUCAGACAAAAGUUUACUAAGUAUUUCACCUCUGUGGAAGGCAAAAUUGACUUCCAGGACAGAAUGGUUGUAGCUAGGCCUACUUACUUAGAUGCACUGUGUGAGAGUGUGUGUGUGUGUAGUUUAUCAACUCGGGAUAGUAAGUUCAACUUUGACAUCUUCAUUUGUUUUGUGUAUUCAUUCUACACUUUAAAACGAUUGUACAAUUCCACCAUUAUUUCAACAACGAACAAAAAAUGUACAUGAACAUUUGAAAAAUUGAAAUACUUGUAAUUUUCAACAACACAAAAAUCUCACAUGACUGUUGGCUUCAGAGGAUUUAUGUAUUAAUAAAAGCAUACAGCACACAUGGCAUUUACAUUCAGCUAACGCUAGCUAGUUUGUUUUAUACCGAGGAUGAACAUUGGGUUGUUAUACUUUACCUGAAAUGUGCAUGGUCUUUGCAAUCUCUCUCCAUAACGCAUCUUUAUUAGUUGGAUCCUUGUUGAAUUUUGAAGACGGGUCAUAUAAAAGUGAGUACUUCUCUACUUCAACGAUAAAUCUCUCCUCGUCCAUGUUUCAAGCACCCACGUUGGCUUUUGUUUACAGGAAGUAGGGGACGGACGUAUGUUUGUUGUGAGAACCAAUGAGUUUAUGAGAGGCGGAACUUCCAGACUUGAUAUGUCGGUUUGCAACCAAUUUAAGGUGCAUUCCGCCACCAACUGGACUGGAGUGUGUACCUUGCAGUUAGUCUUUCAGUCACACACGUGGGUAUAACCAAUAAGGAGAUGACACAUGAGUACCUGACAAACCAAUGAGGAGAUGGGAGAGGCAGGACUUCAGUGCAAUCUGUGUCAGAAAUAGAAUUGAUUUCUAUUUUAGCCCUUGCGUCACAGACGCUCGCGAGCAGUGGGUGCAAUAAUUGAAUAACAUGGAUUUCUAAAUUUAUUUUGCAACACUUGGGCACGCGACGUGUCCGUGUAAUGGUUUUCUUGAGUUGAAGGAGAGGCGGACCAAUACGCAGCGUGGUUACUAUUCAUGGUUCUUUAAUAAAGCAACAACGCAUGAACAAAUUAACAAAACAAGUGAAAAAAAAAAAAACCCAAAACAGCCCUAUCUGGUGCAAACACAGAGACAAGAACAAUCACCCACAAAACCCAACACCGAACAGGCUACCUAAAUAUGGUUCCCAAUCAGAGACAAUGACUAACACCUGCCUCUGAUUGAGAACCAUAUUAGGCCAGACAUAGAAAUAGACAAACAAGACAUCCAACAUAGAAUGCCAACUCAGAUCACACCCUGACCAAACAAAACAUAAAAACAUACAAAGCAAACUAUGGUCAGGGUGUGACAGUCUGGUCUGGUCAGCAUGUUAUGAUUAACUUAGACUCAGCAAAUGAAGAUAAGUAAAAUAUUUUUCAGUGGGUUAUACUAGACUAGGUCAGUGUGUUAAUGCUGCUGGACCCCAGAGUACUGAACAAUGUCUAGCUAAUCUAACACAUCUGUUUCAACUCAUGAAGACAGAACUAUGUCAGAGAGAUGCCUAUAUUGUCCAUUACUGUGCUGGGUCGGAGAAGGACUGAGAAACAUUUGAGUAAGCUGGUUCGAUUGCACAUGUGAAGAUUUGGGAUUUCUGUUUAAAACCAGGUAUACGUGGCAGAGCAAAAAUAUGUGAAACUGUCUGAGCUGACAUUUGAUUCUUUCUUGAAAGAAGGCGUGUGUGCGUUACCUUAGGUUUGAUGGUGCCUUUAGUUAGUUAAGUUGUAUUUUUCUUCAUAUUGACACUAGUCCCCAACUAUUUCACCUUGACACACAAUGUCUGUGUUUUUUUUCUUCUUCAGUUUUCAUCAAAUUCAGCAUACCAGAGGAAAGACAGUCUGACAUCAACGUGUAUGACCAGUCUCACACAGAAAUUGACUCAGAGGUGUUUGAAGGGAUUGCAAAGGAGUCACCUGGCACCUUCUGGACCACUCUAGGCGAUGAAGGACUUGCUUUUCAAUCAUCAUCGUCAUCCUCUGUAAGAUCUGAUGACACUAAUUCUGAAUUUCACUGUGUGACCAUCAUGAAGAAGCAGCCACUGGUGAAGGGAGCCAACCCAAAAGAUAGUGCCAGAUAAACUAAGGCUAAAGCGGUAUGUGGUAGAAACUACUGUUUAGUGUAAUCUGUAUGUUUGUUUCAUAUUAUGGGAUUGGGGAGUGUUCUUGAGCUGAUUCUUUACUAUUUUUAAAAUCUUAAAGUUUAAUUUACUCACCAAGAGCACCUAAUUCCUUUAUUUUGUUUAAAGUUGAUUGAAAGAAUCCGAACAUCAAAACCUGGUGGUGAACGCAUCAUACAAGAGUAUGGAAAACCAAGACUCUGACAGAUGCCACCAGAAGGCAGAUGUCAGGAUGAUGUAUGCACAGGGAAUUGUUGCAUUGUUUCCUUAUCUCGAAGACUCAUUUUCAAAAAAUGUAUAUGUAAGUAAAGUAAAAGUGUCUCUGGAACAUUACGUACAUGAUCAGUCUUUGAAAUGUAUGCAUUUAUAUGUAUGUAUUAUGUAGGAACAUUACUAUGAUCAAGAGAGUGGGUCUGGAUACAUGGCAUGAUUGAAGACCAUACAAAAAAAAGCACAUUUCCCGAAGUUGGUGGGCCAGGCCAUGGUCGAUAGCCCUUUCACCCGUGACGAAGUGCCAACUAACGAAGACAUCGAGGCAGCCAUUGCUGUUUUUAGAUUUUCUGCUGAUGAAGACUCUGUCCGGGAGAAGAUGAAGACUGCCUUCCCUCAUUGCCAAGCUGAUGCAGACAAAUCAGCAGAUGUCUUCUCAGUCUUCCCCAGGGUAUUGGAUAUACCAGGACUGAUAGAACAAGACUUCAGGCUUCUGUUUGGUGAGGCCACAACCAACAAGUUCUUGGAGAAGUGGCCAACCACUUUCAAGGGAAAAGUGAUGGAAAGUGAUGGACUUACACCCACCACAGAACUCUUGGAAUUGAUGUGCAAUGCUGAGUCAGCUGUUGAAAAUGAGAAUGGACAGAUGUCUGCAUGUCAAGGGGUUGAUCAGCUCAUCAGAUUUCAAAAGGUUGGAACCAGUGUGCAGCAGCAUCUGGAUAGCAUCACCCAAAGCGGUCAGCCCUACCUUCUUGCCUUGGGAUCCAUAAAGAGCAGCAUUCACUCCUACUUUGUUGUGAUCGACAAGCAUGCGGUUCCAGUAGGAACCUUUGACGAACUCUUUAAGGCUCACUUCAUCGUUGGUACAUCAUACAGUUCUUGCCUGAGUAACUUCUUCACUUUUGUGCAAACAACCAUCUACAACAUUGAUAUGGGGGAAACAAAGGAGACUCCCCAAGUUGCUGAGUUGAGAGCAAGAAUGUUGCGUUAGUGAAGAUCUGCUAAGGUGAAAUUAUGAAGUGUUUUCUAUGCAAGACUGAGCAUACAAGUUCCGCUUCAAGUGUCAAUCAGAAAAUUAUGAUUGUAUAAUAAUAAUAAUAAUUGUCAAGCACCUUAAAGUAAUUAAUGGACUUUGUCCAGGGAGAACUCUUUAUCUAAAAUGUGGUCAAGUGGGAUGUUCACGUUCCUUUGGUAGCUUUUCUGGUUUUAGAAAGCAUUUAAGUAAUUGCCACAUUAGCAGUUUAUUUGGUUCAGUCGGUGGUGUUGAUUUUUCAAACUCUCAAAGCACCUUUAACACUUGUAAAGGUAGUGAUGUUGGAGAAGUGUUGACUGAAAAUGUAGAGUGAGUCAGCGACGUCUUCCCCAGACAUUGUAAAUAGUUGUGCGUCUGUAAUUGCUGAUCUAAAGGCAGCAGGUGUAGGUCAAAGUACAGUUAAUUCUGUUGUGAAUUCCAUGGAAGAGAGAGUUCAUGAUAUCCAACAGCGAGCUAAAUAAACUUUCGUUAAGCAUGUUCUAUGUGAUGAAGGACAAACUGAAAUAUCCAAGAAAGGAGGCAUCUUUUGAAGGGUUAGAGAAUCCUUUCACUGUGCUAAAUUCUGAAUACAAGAUGUCCACAUUUUUCAGAGAAGUGGGAAACUGUAGAACCAGUUGAACAUGUCAUUGGCUCAAGAUUUGACACAAGACGAAACAAAAAGACUGGAACAUAUGACCAGAUUGUAGUUCAAGACAAAUUCAUGUAUGUUCCAAUAUUGUCUACCUUGCAGUCAAUAUUCAAAUGUAAACAUGUUUCAGAGAUGUUUCGCUUUCCUAGUGACACAAGACUUGUGUGAUGGAUCUUUUAUUAGGAGUCACCCUCUUUUCUCAACAGAAAGACACGUCAUACAGAUUCAAUUGUUCUAGGAUUAUUUUAAGGUUGCAAACCCUGUGGGUUUCAAGUGAGGAUUUCAUAAAUUGGGUGCUAUAUAUUUUACUUUAAGGAACUUCUCUCCUAAAUGGAAUUCUUGUUGGGCUAACAUAUACCUGUGUGCCUUAAUUCAUGCUCAAGAUCUUAAAUGUUAUGGAUUAGGGCAAUCCUUGCUCCUAUUGUUUGAGACAUUAAAGUGUUAGAGUGAUGGCAUUGUGGUUCCUUUAUACAGUGGUUGUGUUCAUGGCAGUGUGGUUCAGGUUACUGGCGAUAAUCUGGGUCUACAUAGUUUGUUUGGCCUGGUGGAGUCUUUCAGCGCAAGUUAUUGCUGUCUUGCAGAAAAAGAUGACUCAGACAGAAUUCUCUGAAGAUUGUCCCAAGAUAGCGUUGUGAACUAAAGAAAUGCACACUGCUCACUGUCAGAGAAUGAAUAGAAAUCCAUCUCUUCCAUACGUUUUUGGUGUGACGCAUUCGUGUUUAUUAAACUGAGUAUUAUCACAGAACUGAGAACUUCUCAGUUGAUGUGAUGCAUGAUGUGUUAGAGGGUGUGGCCCAGUACGAGUUGAAGUUAUUUAUCUGAAGAAAAAACAUGUAACAUCAGCAGAAUUAGAUUUAAGAAUACAAAGUUUGAUUAUGAUUAAUGGAAAGAAACAAACCCGUGGCUGUGAAUUUAUCAGAAGGAUCGAAUGAUUUGGGGCUUAAUGCAAUUCAGUCACAGUGCCUACUGAGAAACGCUCCUCUUAUUUUGGGGGAUUUGGUAACUUCUACUGAACAGCACUGGGGCCUACUCCUUUUAUUACUUUAAAUAGUUAACAUAAUAUUUUCUCCUAUGUUAACAGAGGGUCUCUGUGUUUAUUUAAACAGUUGUUUUCCCAGAGAGAACUUUUACCAAAGCACCAUUUUCUAAUCCAUUAUCCCCGCUGCAUCUAGAAAAUUGGACCUGUAAUUCAUAGUUGGUGUAUGCAGUAUGAAGGUAAGCAUGCUUUUUUGAAACUACAAUCUUAAAUAAAAAUUUCAAAAAACUAUAUGGCGUAUAAUUGGCAAUCCUCUACACUUUUUAGUCAAUAAGACAUUGGUCCUGUGAAAUGGUGCCUUUGAAUAUGGUAAAAGCUGGUUCUAUGAUUGCUGUGGCAAUUAGCACUCAGGUUAUGAAAGUGGACUGGGCUAAAUACCAUGGCUUUGUUUACCGCCCAAGCAUGUUAUCUGUUGUAAAAUUGAAUUUGAAAUGCCUCCGUUUUAUCAAAUGGAAAAGUGUUGCUGCUCACAGUGCCUUUAAUUACUCUAGCUUUUCAAGAACAUUUCAAUGUGUACAAAGUAACCAAGUCAAAACAUGGUUUUGUUUUCUUUCAUGUCCGACAACCUGCAUUAUCAUAGACCAUUUGAUAUACAAAUGUCGUAUGGAAGGAAUUAGAUAUCUAUUUGUUGUCCCAUAUUGCUUUCUCUGGUGAGCAUGUCACUUGCGAUGUUGACAGUGUAAAUGGUUACAUUGAUUAAAGGCAAGGUGAGGGGUGGGUUGAUGUGCAUUAACAUUGAAAUGGAUUACUUUUAUCAUGUGUAAUUGUGUUUAUUCACAUUGACACCAAGUUAAGUAAUUGGGUAAUACUACUGUGCAGUGGAGCUUUCUGGAUAACACUAGAGAAAAAAAAACAAGUGUCAAUUUUAACACAACUUUGAGUAUACUUGACUCUGAAAAG